UGAGUUUGAUCCUGGCUCAGGACGAACGCUGGCGGCGUGCCUAACACAUGCAAGUCGAACGGGGUGCAGCAUCUGGCUUGCCAGAAGCUGUUACCUAGUGGCGAACGGGUGAGUAACACGUGGGUAACCUGCCCAAGAGACCGGGAUAACAGUUCGAAAGGGCUGCUAAUACCGGAUACCCUGUUUAAGAGGCAUUUCUUAGAUAGGAAAUGAUUUAUCGCUCUUGGAUGGGCCCGCGUCCCAUUAGCUAGUUGGUGAGGUAACGGCUCACCAAGGCUUCGAUGGGUAGCCGGCCUGAGAGGGUGUACGGCCACACUGGGACUGAGACACGGCCCAGNCUCCUACGGGAGGCAGCAGUGGGGAAUAUUGCGCAAUGGGGGCAACCCUGACGCAGCGACGCCGCGUGAGCGAU
RNAcentral lists this ribosomal RNA (412 nucleotides) under uncultured bacterium. RNAcentral describes it as "bacterial SSU rRNA". It matches the Rfam family "Bacterial small subunit ribosomal RNA", at positions 1 to 409 of the family's 1533-position model. The record is from RNAcentral.